CUCUGACCGUGCGAAGGUAGCGCAAUCAAUUGUUCUUUAAAUGAGGACCAGAAUCAACGGCAUCACGAGGAUCCUACUGUCUCCCCCCUCUAAUCAGUGAAAUUGAUCUCCCCGUGAAGAAGCGGGGAUAUAAAUAUAAGACGAGAAGACCCCAUGGAGCUUUAAACCCAACAACACCUAUCUAUUUUAUUCCCCCAUAUUUAUACGGUUAUGUUUGUUUGGUUUUAGGUUGGGGUGACCGCGGAGUAUAAAACAACCUCCACGAAGAAAAGACUAAUAAUCUUUAUCAGAGAAAGACAUUUCUAAGAAAUAAUAUAUUAACUUUAAAUGAUCCGAUAUUC
RNAcentral lists this ribosomal RNA (341 nucleotides) under Boophis luciae. Its description in RNAcentral is "partial 16S ribosomal RNA". It matches the Rfam family "Archaeal large subunit ribosomal RNA", at positions 2017 to 2454 of the family's 2987-position model. Lineage: Eukaryota; Metazoa; Chordata; Amphibia; Anura; Mantellidae. The record is from RNAcentral.